GGGGGAUAUUGCGCAAUGGGGGAAACCCUGACGCAGCAAUGCCGCGUGAAGGAAGAGGGUCUUCGGAUUGUAAACUUUUGUCUUUGGUGACGAAGAAUGACGGUAGCCAAGGAGGAAGCUCCGGCUAACUACGUGCCAGCAGCCGCGGUAAUACGUAGGGAGCGAGCGUUGUCCGGAUUUACUGGGUGUAAAGGGCGCGUAGGCGGGCCUGCAAGUCAGAUGUGAAAUACCGGGGCUUAACCCCGGGGCUGCAUUUGAAACUGUGGGUCUUGAGUGCGGGAGAGGAAAGCGGAAUUCCUAGUGUAGCGGUGAAAUGCGUAGAUAUUAGGAGGAACACCGGUGGCGAAGGCGGCUUUCUGGACCGUAACUGACGCUGAGGCGCGAAAGUGUGGGGAGCAAACAGGAUUAGAUACCCUGGUAGUCCACACCGUAAACGAUGGAUACUAGGUGUAGGGGGUAUCGACCCCCCCUGUGCCGCAGCUAACGCAAUAAGUAUCCCACCUGGGGAGUACGGCCGCAAGGCUGAAACUCAAAGGAAUUGACGGGGACCCGCACAAGCAGUGGAGUAUGUGGUUUAAUUCGAAGCAACGCGAAGAACCUUACCAGGGCUUGACAUCCCAAGAAUCCUGUAGAGAUACGGGAGUGCCUUCGGGAACUUGGAGACAGGUGGUGCAUGGUUGUCGUCAGCUCGUGUCGUGAGAUGUUGGGUUAAGUCCCGCAACGAGCGCAACCCUUACUGUCAGUUGCCAUCAUUGAGUUGGGCACUCUGGCGGGACUGCCGUUGACAAAACGGAGGAAGGUGGGGACGACGUCAAAUCAUCAUGCCCCUUAUGUCCUGGGCUACACACGUACUACAAUGGCCGUAACAACGGGAAGCGAAGCAGCGAUGUGGAGCAAAUCCCUGAAAAACGGUCCCAGUUCAGAUUGCAGGCUGAAACCCGCCUGCAUGAAGGUGGAAUUGCUAGUAAUCGCGGAUCAGCAUGCCGCGGUGAAUACGUUCCCG
RNAcentral lists this ribosomal RNA (1003 nucleotides) under uncultured organism. Its description in RNAcentral is "bacterial SSU rRNA". It matches the Rfam family "Bacterial small subunit ribosomal RNA", at positions 356 to 1376 of the family's 1533-position model. The record is from RNAcentral.